GAUGAACGCUGGCGGCGUGCCUAAUACAUGCAAGUCGAGCGAACAGACGAGGAGCUUGCUCCUCUGACGUUAGCGGCGGACGGGUGAGUAACACGUGGAUAACCUACCUAUAAGACUGGGAUAACUUCGGGAAACCGGAGCUAAUACCGGAUAAUAUAUUGAACCGCAUGGUUCAAUAGUGAAAGCCGGUUUUGCUGUCACUUAUAGAUGGAUCCGCGCCGCAUUAGCUAGUUGGUAAGGUAACGGCUUACCAAGGCGACGAUGCGUAGCCGAACUGAGAGGGUGAUCGGCCACACUGGAACUGAGACACGGUCCAGACUCCUACGGGAGGCAGCAGUAGGGAAUCUUCCGCAAUGGGCGAAAGCCUGACGGAGCAACGCCGCGUGAGUGAUGAAGGUCUUCGGAUCGUAAAACUCUGUUAUUAGGGAAGAACAAAUGUGUAAGUAACUAUGCACGUCUUGACGGUACCUAAUCAGAAAGCCACGGCUAACUACGUG
This 497-nucleotide ribosomal RNA is filed under the name uncultured bacterium. Its description in RNAcentral is "partial 16S ribosomal RNA". It matches the Rfam family "Bacterial small subunit ribosomal RNA", at positions 28 to 507 of the family's 1533-position model. The record is from RNAcentral.